Molecule: ribosomal RNA, 465 nt
Filed under: uncultured bacterium
Lineage: Bacteria
Description: partial 16S ribosomal RNA
Rfam family: Bacterial small subunit ribosomal RNA
Source: RNAcentral
CCUACGGGCGGCAGCAGUGGGGAAUAUUGCGCAAUGGGCGAAAGCCUGACGCAGCGACGCCGCGUGAGGGAUGAAGGUCUUCGGAUCGUAAACCUCUGUCAGCAGGGAGGAACGGUCACUGUGCUAAUCAGCAGCGAAUUGACGGUACCUGCAAAGGAAGCACCGGCUAACUCCGUGCCAGCAGCCGCGGUAAUACGGAGGGUGCGAGCGUUAAUCGGAAUUACUGGGCGUAAAGCGCUCGUAGGCGGUAUGUCAAGUCAAGGGUGAAAUCCCCGGGCUCAACGUGGGAACUGCCUUUGAAACUGGCAAGCUGGAGUGUGUGAGAGGAUAGUAGAAUUCCAGGUGUAGGAGUGAAAUCCGUAGAUAUCUGGAGGAACAUCAGUGGCGAAGGCGACUAUCUGGCACAUAACUGACGCUGAGGAGCGAAAGCGUGGGUAGCAAACAGGAUUAGAUACCCCAGUAGUC